GAUGAACGCUGGCGGCGUGCUUAACACAUGCAAGUCGAACGAAGCACCUUAUUCUGAUUUCUUCGGAAUGAAAAAUUUGGUGACUGAGUGGCGGACGGGUGAGUAACGCGUGGGUAACCUGCCUCAUACAGGGGGAUAGCAGUUAGAAAUGACUGCUAAUACCGCAUAAGACCACAGCACCGCAUGGUGCAGGGGUAAAAACUCCGGUGGUAUGAGAUGGACCCGCGUCUGAUUAGGUAGUUGGUGGGGUAACGGCCUACCAAGCCGACGAUCAGUAGCCGACCUGGGAGGGUGACCGGCCACAUUGGGACUGAGACACGGCCCAAACUCCUACGGGAGGCAGCAGUGAGGAAUAUUGCACAAUGGGGGAAACCCUGAUGCAGCGACGCCGCGUGAGUGAUGAAGUAUUUCGGUAUGUAAAGCUCUAUCAGCAGGGAAGAAAAUGACGGUACCUGACUAAGAAGCACCGGCUAAAUACGUGCCAGCCGCCGCGGUAA
Molecule: ribosomal RNA, 497 nt
Filed under: uncultured bacterium
Lineage: Bacteria
Description: partial 16S ribosomal RNA
Rfam family: Bacterial small subunit ribosomal RNA
Source: RNAcentral